RNAcentral lists this ribosomal RNA (58 nucleotides) under Penicillium citrinum. Its description in RNAcentral is "partial 28S ribosomal RNA". The record is from RNAcentral. Lineage: Eukaryota; Fungi; Ascomycota; Eurotiomycetes; Eurotiales; Aspergillaceae.
UGACCUCGGAUCAUGUAUGGAUACCCGCUGAACUUAAGCAUAUCAAUAAGCGAAGGAA